Molecule: ribosomal RNA, 378 nt
Filed under: uncultured bacterium
Lineage: Bacteria
Description: bacterial SSU rRNA
Rfam family: Bacterial small subunit ribosomal RNA
Source: RNAcentral
ACUCCUACGGGAGGCAGCAGUGGGGAAUAUUGCACAAUGGGGGAAACCCUGAUGCAGCCAUGCCGCGUGUGUGAAGAAGGCCUUCGGGUUGUAAAGCACUUUCAGCGAGGAGGAAAAGGGGUGUAAGUUAAUACCUUACAUCCGUGACGUUACUCGCAGAAGAAGCACCGGCUAACUCCGUGCCAGCAGCCGCGGUAAUACGGAGGGUGCGAGCGUUAAUCGGAAUUACUGGGCGUAAAGCGUGCGCAGGCGGUUUGUUAAGCGAGAUGUGAAAGCCCCGGCUCAACCUGGGAACCGCAUUUCGAACUGGCAAACUAGAGUCUUGUAGAGGGGGGUAGAAUUGCCAGGUGUAGCGGUGAAAUGCAGUAGAGAUCUGGA